Molecule: ribosomal RNA, 496 nt
Filed under: uncultured bacterium
Lineage: Bacteria
Description: partial 16S ribosomal RNA
Rfam family: Bacterial small subunit ribosomal RNA
Source: RNAcentral
AUGAACGCUGGCGGCGUGCCUAAUACAUGCAAGUCGAGCGAACAGACGAGGAGCUUGCUCCUCUGACGUUAGCGGCGGACGGGUGAGUAACACGUGGAUAACCUACCUAUAAGACUGGGAUAACUUCGGGAAACCGGAGCUAAUACCGGAUAAUAUAUUGAACCGCAUGGUUCAAUAGUGAAAGACGGUUUUGCUGUCACUUAUAGAUGGAUCCGCGCCGCAUUAGCUAGUUGGUAAGGUAACGGCUUACCAAGGCAACGAUGCGUAGCCGACCUGAGAGGGUGAUCGGCCACACUGGAACUGAGACACGGUCCAGACUCCUACGGGGGGCAGCAGUAGGGAAUCUUCCGCAAUGGGCGAAAGCCUGACGGAGCAACGCCGCGUGACUGAUGAAGGUCUUCGGAUCGUAAAACUCUGUUAUUAGGGAAGAACAAAUGUGUAAGUAACUAUGCACGUCUUGACGGUACCUAAUCAGAAAGCCACGGCUAACUACGUG